This 497-nucleotide ribosomal RNA is filed under the name uncultured bacterium. RNAcentral describes it as "partial 16S ribosomal RNA". It matches the Rfam family "Bacterial small subunit ribosomal RNA", at positions 28 to 507 of the family's 1533-position model. The record is from RNAcentral.
GAUGAACGCUGGCGGCGUGCCUAAUACAUGCAAGUCGAGCGAACGGACGAGAGGCUUGCUUUUCUGAUGUUAGCGGCGGACGGGUGAGUAACACGUGGAUAACCUACCUAUAAGACUGGGAUAACUUCGGGAAACCGGAGCUAAUACCGGAUAAUAUUUUGAACCGCAUGGUUCAAAAGUGAAAGACGGUCUUGCUGUCACUUAUAGAUGGAUCCGCGCUGCAUUAGCUAGUUGGUAAGGUAACGGCUUACCAAGGCAACGAUGCAUAGCCGACCUGAGAGGGUGAUCGGCCACACUGGAACUGAGACACGGUCCAGACUCCUACGGGAGGCAGCAGUAGGGAAUCUUCCGCAAUGGGCGAAAGCCUGACGGAGCAACGCCGCGUGAGUGAUGAAGGUCUUCGGAUCGUAAAACUCUGUUAUUAGGGAAGAACAUAUGUGUAAGUAACUGUGAACAUCUUGACGGUACCUAAUCAGAAAGCCACGGCUAACUACGUG